Molecule: long non-coding RNA, 2963 nt
Organism: Chenopodium quinoa (quinoa)
Lineage: Eukaryota; Viridiplantae; Streptophyta; Magnoliopsida; Caryophyllales; Amaranthaceae
Exons: 3
Source: RefSeq, a predicted model, not a curated record
UCGAAUUCUUUUUUUCUUUCCAAUUUGAACCACAAAAUUUCCGAAAACUAACCUGUUCGCCGCCUCCAAUGGUGCCGCCACGACCACCGUACGUCACCCUGAUUCGCUACGGGUCCACCAUCGCCAGAUUUCUUCUACCCUCCUUGGAUUGGUGGUGGGUUGUGGGUGUUUUUCUUUUGAAUUUUCUGUUUUUUUUUUUUUUUACAAAUUUCUGAUUUUUUAAUUUUAGGAGAGAUUUUUAGAGAGAUAAAAUUUUAGAGAGAGAAGUAUGAUAUCGUGAAAUGUGUCGUGAGUGAGUGUCGCGAGUAUUUAUAUACGAGGGGGUAAAUACGGAAUUUUAUGUAAAAAAUACGAACGAUGUCUAGUAAAUUGGGAGCGACAUUUAACUGACCCCAAAUUAUAUAUUCCAUUGAAUAUAUAAUUUGGGGCGAAUUUCGUUCUUUCUGAGCUUUCUAUAUUCCAUUGAAGUAGUUUCCGAGGUAAGAUGUUUUUUUUUUUUUUUUUUUUUAGAUCACCGAUUUUAAUUUCAUUAAUUUUAUACAGUAUAGUCAAUUUAGGGUUCUUCACAUUCUGAAAAUUAUAUAGCAAAAUUAGUUCAAUUUGUUGUAAAUUCAUCAAGAUCUUGCUAAAAUUUGAAGUUUGCUCGUUUAAUUUGGUGAAUUUUGUUCGGAUUUCUUCUGCAAUGACUCUCAAUUAUUCGCUCGAGAUGCAAAUCGAGUUCAAAAUAGGUAUAAUUGCGAUGUAUGAUUGUGAAUUAUGUGUUGUUUAAUUGUACCAGGAUAAAUCGAAUCAUUUCCUAUCAAUUUGUAGCUUAAAUUUGCAAGUUCGUAAACAAUUUGUUGCAAAAUUCUCAAUUUAAUUGAUGCAUAUUCAGUCUAAAUAAGAUUUUAGGUUUGUUUUUGAAUCAUUCAAUUUAACUUAUGAUGUUGGAGUUAGAUUUUUUUAUAGUAUGGUUAUGUUGAUUUCCUCAAAAAAUAUAUACACAGAUCGAUCUUAAGGGUUUGGCAAAGGUAAAUUCAAGAUUUUUAGCUGAACAGGUAUUAAGUUAUCUUAAUUUUUUUAUAUUAUCCAAUAUUUCCUGCUUACAUGUGCUAGAAUUGGACAAUUACUGUUUUGUGUUGCUUUAUCGAUUUCAAAAGUAAAUAGAAAUCAAAUAAAGGUAAAUAAAUUAUAUUCUAAAGUAAAGCAAAUAAAAAAACUUCAACUAUGAUUCAUAAUAUAUGAGCAAUGAGAGAAAUGUUGGUUGUGUUUGCUGUAUGCAAUUUCAGUGUUGUGCAAUAGAAUUCUACUAAUUUAGUAAGAGCUGAUAAUCCAAGUUUUGACAAUCUAAGACAAAUGGAGAUUAGGAAUCUUUGCUAAGUUUUCAGGGCACUUAUUCAAGCAAUGAAGUCGUGUUGAGAAUGGUGUUGGGGGUUUAUAUAUCUUCAAUUUGUCUUAUGAUAUAUUAUUUAGUAUGUAAUGUGGGUAUGUUACAGCACUUACAAGCACCUUCAUAUUACAAUAAUCAAUGUGGCAUUGUUCCUUCAGGAACAACGAGAUUAACGCAACUGUAAAUGAGAUCGUUGUAGGAGUGCUUUGAGGACGAGUAUUACAUAUGCUCCAUUCUGUUACCUAUCUAUAUGUAAUACUGAAUUUGUAGUGUAUUAGGUACUUGAGAUUUUGAUUAUUUUUGUAGGUUAGCAUUAGUUUGAGACUGAUGGUGUUGGUGGUUUGGUUGUAUCUUUAGGCAAGGAAAAUUGUAUAAUAGAAAAUGGAACUAGAUAAGGGUGCUUCAGUGGAUGAUAUACGAAAGAAGAUUGCCAAAGAGAGAAAAACUAAGGUUGCAAAACAGCUGGAGAAAAAAAGCUAUUUUUCUGCUGAAAGGAUUCAGUGUCAGAAUAGGGAUCUGAUGCAGAUUAUUAAUAAAUAUGCUGCUGAACCAUUGAAAAAAGUAUCCACAAAAACGACAGAACCAAAAACCUAAUCUAUAGUUGAGCUUUUUGCUGAGGCAAAGGAAGCUCAAGAUGGCAGUCUUAAUUAAAAAAAAAAAAAAAAAAAAAAAUUCAGCUUGCUGACAAGCAACUUCUGGUACUUGUGAUUAAACUUGGUGAUAAGACAAAGCUAUGUCUAGUGACAGAUUUCAUGGAGCCCGAACUAUGAAUUGGUAUCGGAGUCUGAAUCGACCCCAUCGGAGUUACACAGCUAGUUAGCAGUAAGCAUGCUAUCAGCAAGAGACCUAUCUCCACUUAGUGAAAAAUCACGCCUAAGAAGACACCUAUACAAGUAACAAAGUUAGAACUUGUCAACUUUGCAUAUUGGAAUGAUCUCUUAGAUGUCAAUCAGACCAAGAACAACGGAUACGAUUAUAGAAAAGUAUGGCAUUUGGGAUAUACUUGAACAAAGGUGUAAUCACCAAAAGAGUGAAUAGUACUACGAAGCACAUCACAAUGUUGGAGGCUGAUGUCUGACAACCAGCCAUGUAAUUCACAGCACAGCUAACAAAUCCUUCUUCAUAUGAGCAAAUCUAGCUAGGUGCUAUUAAAAGCGGGGAUAAAUUGCAACAAGUGAUAAUAAACAUGAUAUUCUGUAAUUAAUAAUGUUGAUAUAUCCAAAACCUUCACCUGUUCAUUUUGAUGAACUGGCGUGAUGUUUGUUGAUCAAAACUCAUUUUGAACUGAAAAUUACGAAGAAUUUCUCUGAAUCAAUUUUGACCUGUGUCAAUGAGUCAUCUACAUUUGUGUCUCUUAGCUACCAUUUCUUGGUUUCCAUCCACCUCAUAGCCUCUUAUAUCUGCAAAUUUCUCCCAAAUGCUAGUGCUUCCUAAAAAGGUUGGAAGACAUGCUAACUAUACAAAAAUUAAUUUGUAUAUGAAACUUACUGCUAGUGCAAUUACACAUACAAUAGCACCAACUUUGAACCUUUAUGUACCUACAUGUGGGUAAAUCAAAAUAUCUGUAAAGUAAAUCAAAAUAACUCAAAUCGAA